Molecule: small nuclear RNA, 106 nt
Organism: Dasypus novemcinctus (nine-banded armadillo)
Lineage: Eukaryota; Metazoa; Chordata; Mammalia; Cingulata; Dasypodidae
Source: Ensembl
GUGCUCACUUUGGCAGCACAUAAACUAAAAUUGGAAUGAUACAGAGAUGAUUACCAUGGCCCUGUGCAAGGAUGCCAUGCAAGUUCAUGAAACAUUCCAUACUUUU